GACGAACGCUGGCGGCGUGCUUAACACAUGCAAGUCGAACGGAAAGGCUCCAGCUUGCUGGAGUACUCGAGUGGCGAACGGGUGAGUAACACGUGGGUAAUCUGCCCUGCACUCUGGGAUAAGCCUGGGAACUGGGUCUAAUACCGGAUAUUACCUUUCUCCUUUUUGGGGUUGGUGGAAAGUUUUUCGGUGUAGGAUGAGCCCGCGGCCUAUCAGCUUGUUGGUGGGGUGAUGGCCUACCAAGGCAACGACGGGUAGCCGGCCUGAGAGGGUGAUCGGCCACAUUGGGACUGAGAUACGGCCCAGACUCCUACGGGAGGCAGCAGUGGGGAAUAUUGCACAAUGGGCGGAAGCCUGAUGCAGCGACGCCGCGUGAGGGAUGACGGCCUUCGGGUUGUAAACCUCUUUCAGCAGGGACGAAGCGUAAGUGACGGUACCUGCAGAAGAAGCACCGGCUAACUAUGUG
Molecule: ribosomal RNA, 466 nt
Filed under: uncultured bacterium
Lineage: Bacteria
Description: partial 16S ribosomal RNA
Rfam family: Bacterial small subunit ribosomal RNA
Source: RNAcentral